Molecule: transfer RNA, 73 nt
Filed under: Rubripirellula sp.
Lineage: Bacteria; Pseudomonadati; Planctomycetota; Planctomycetia; Pirellulales; Pirellulaceae
Also listed under: 4 other names
Description: tRNA-Glu
Rfam family: tRNA
About the family: Transfer RNA (tRNA) molecules are approximately 80 nucleotides in length. Their secondary structure includes four short double-helical elements and three loops (D, anti-codon, and T loops).
Source: RNAcentral
GCCCCCUUCGUCUAGUGGCCCAGGACACUGGAUUCUCAGUCCAGAAACGGUAGUUCAAAUCUGCCAGGGGGUA